AAUUUUGUUUGUCAUGCUGGCGUAUCGGGUCGAAGGUAUAUAAAUGACAUUGUUAUAUAGUCUUGUGCAUACAUAACAUCCGUUUGCAGUGAGAAGUUUAACAGACCGAGUUGUCAUAACAUACAUACCCGAUGGAUAUGAAAAUUAUUGUUUGUUGUGUAUUGUUAGCAGUGUUUGUCGUAUCAACAUCAGCCUGGUGGGGCAAAAGAUGUCCCAAUAGAUGGUUUAAUAGGCUCCCACAUUGUGGGAGCAGUUCACUCCAACGAUGCGGAGAUAAAAAUAGAUGUGGUAGUGGAAAAAUGUGCUGCAAGGUAGGGUGGUGUCCAGGCCGAUAUUGUCGUACUCCUUACCAGCCCUUUAAUUACUACAAUUGGUUUCCAUUCUAUAUUAGAAGAAAGAACUUAGUACAUGCAAACAACCAAGUUGGUACAACUACUACUACUACUACCACUACUACUACUACUGCUAGAACUGUGGUUGAUGUUGAUGGUACGAAUCGUCAAACCACACCAUCCAUCCAAUCUGCUUCACAAUCCUUUCAAAUACCAGUAACAAUAACACGUUCAGGAGUCUGUGAUCGAGCACGCAGUAUAAGCUGUAGUGGACAGUGUACACAGGAUGGUGACUGUAGCACUUCCAGAAAAUGCUGUAGAAACCGGUGUGGAACAAGAAGUUGCGGACCAAUUUUACGUUCAUCGGUUUUCAUCAGUGGCAAAAAAUAAAUAUAACCUGAUUCCAUAAAA
This is a long non-coding RNA of Patella vulgata (common limpet), 743 nucleotides long. RefSeq lists it as uncharacterized. The record is from RefSeq and is a predicted model, not a curated record. The transcript has 4 exons. NCBI's taxonomy places the organism in Eukaryota, Metazoa, Mollusca, Gastropoda, Patellidae.